GAGCCUGUAGCGCAGUCUGGAUAGCGCGAUUGCCUCCUAAGCAAUAGGUCGUGGGUUCGAAUCCCAUCAGGCUCG
This 75-nucleotide transfer RNA is filed under the name Candidatus Woesearchaeota archaeon. Its description in RNAcentral is "tRNA-Arg". It matches the Rfam family "tRNA". Rfam says of the family: Transfer RNA (tRNA) molecules are approximately 80 nucleotides in length. Their secondary structure includes four short double-helical elements and three loops (D, anti-codon, and T loops). Lineage: Archaea; Nanobdellati; Candidatus Woesearchaeota. The record is from RNAcentral.